Molecule: non-coding RNA, 459 nt
Organism: Notechis scutatus (mainland tiger snake)
Lineage: Eukaryota; Metazoa; Chordata; Lepidosauria; Squamata; Elapidae
Source: RefSeq, a predicted model, not a curated record
GGAGAUAAAGAGUGAUGAGAGAGGGGGAGAGAAAGAGAGAAAUGGGAAAACAGAUGCUGCUUCACUCAACCAACGUCUCCCUUUUAUAAGCUGAGAGAUCCGUGUUGUACAAACUCAACCCAUGUCAUAGCAUCACAGAACGAGAGAGUUGGAAGGGGCCUUGGAGGUCAUCCAGUCCAACCAUCCAUUCCCAGUCCACUGUACGGAAAGACCUCAAUUUACAACGACUAUCGGGGACCAGAAUUUCCAUCGCUAAGCAAAGUGAAUACGCGAAAUGACUGGUGUCCGAUUUUACAAGCUUGUUUUGGGCUUGUUAGUGCAGUUGUGAAAAAGGAACCACAAAGUCCUUCCAUGAACCCAGCUUCUCCUGUUGACUUCACCAGUCGGAAGCCGGCUGGGAAGGGGGAAAACGGCAAGCCGCGGUCUGGUGCGCAUGUACCGGCCUAGGAGAGAGAUGCC